This 76-nucleotide microRNA precursor is filed under the name Callithrix jacchus (white-tufted-ear marmoset). RNAcentral's name for it is "mir-320 microRNA precursor family". It matches the Rfam family "mir-320 microRNA precursor family". The record is from Rfam by way of RNAcentral. Lineage: Eukaryota; Metazoa; Chordata; Mammalia; Primates; Cebidae.
ACAAAAAACAGCCUUCUCUUCCCGGUUCUUCCAGGAGUCAGGAAAAGCUGGGUUGAGAGGGCAGGGAAAAAAAAAA